CCUACGGGUGGCAGCAGUGGGGAAUAUUGGACAAUGGGGGGAACCCUGAACCAGCGACGCCGCGUGAGUGAAGAAGUAUUUCGGUAUGUAAAGCUCUAUCAGCAGGGAAGAAAAUGACGGUACCUGACUAAGAAGCCCCGGCUAACUACGUGCCAGCAGCCGCGGUAAUACGUAGGGGGCAAGCGUUAUCCGGAUUUACUGGGUGUAAAGGGAGCGUAGGCGGUGCAGCAAGUCUGAUGUGAAAGGUCGGGGCCCAACCCCGGGACUGCAUUUGAAACUGUUGAACUGGAGUACAGGAGAGGUAGGCGGAAUGCGUAGUGUAGCGGUGAAAUGCAUAGAUAUUACGAGGAACACCGAUGGCGAAGGCAGCUUACUGGACUGUAGCUGACGUUGAGGCUCGAAAGCGUGGGGAUCGAACAGGAUUAGAUACCCUGGUAGUC
Molecule: ribosomal RNA, 440 nt
Filed under: uncultured bacterium
Lineage: Bacteria
Description: partial 16S ribosomal RNA
Rfam family: Bacterial small subunit ribosomal RNA
Source: RNAcentral